UCUUUGUUCCUCAAAGCGUUACCUUUGAUGGCCGUCCGCCAAAGGCCACCCAUCUUCUUCCUCUGCACUGUUUCCAAUUUCCAUAACCAGAACUGUGUCUUGUGUUCCUUCUUCAACAUCCCAUUCACUACAAGCGUACAACCACCUCCUUCAGCUUCUGAAGCACUCUCUUCCAAUGCUAAGUUUCCUUUGGCUCACAAGGACUCUGCCUUCUGCGGACUGCGGUGAAUUGUCUUCAAAGGACGUUGGGAAAUAGGUUCAGCUUUGUGGGUGGCUGACCCUUCACAGGGUCCAUGGUGGCCUCACAUAGUGACAUUUCUCUAACUCCGGGAUCAUACUGUGACAUUUCUCUAACCCUUCCAGAUGCGCAUUCUGGUUUUCCUUGAUAUUAAAGUAUGUGCAAUUACCAAAUCCAUUUCCCAGGCUUUUACAUAUGCUGAAGCAAUGAACAGACACGGCUCAGGCAGGCAGGAUACUAGAAUUGAUCUUGAGUUAAAAGAUCAAUGAAAGCUUGUGCCGGCACAGUGUUUUUGCUUAAGGUCUUGGAUACUGGGGAGACUGAGGGAAUUGCUGCUUUAGUAUCAAGCAUGGAUGCUACAACUAGAGAGAAUUCGUAAAAGCUACCUUCUUUGAUUUUCUUUUGCUAUUGAACUUUUAAGGCAAGCAUUCAAUUUUGGAUCACUGAUCUUCCAAUGUUUGAGCGGAAUGAUACGGAGCAGAGGCUUGAGGUUCUACAUCAUCCUUUCCCUGUGCUAAAGACAUGAAUGACCUUACAUCUCCCCAUGCAUUAGCGUAUGACAUGGUUUACAAUGGAGUGGAGAUUGGCAGGGGAAGUUUAAGAAUUUAUAAACGUGACAUGCAACAAAAGGCUUUGGAGAUCACUGGCAUCUCAAUGGAGCAGGUUAGUUUACCAUUAUCUUGUAUAUCAUGAAGACAAACUUGUACUGGUUAGGGUUACCUUUCUUUCUGAAUGAAUUGUGUGGAUGAUUUUAUUGUAUUAAUCGACAUUGAAACAAAAAUAAAAACCUGUUAGGAAAACCUUUCUGAAA
Long non-coding RNA from Arachis duranensis, 1049 nucleotides. RefSeq lists it as uncharacterized. The record is from RefSeq and is a predicted model, not a curated record. Lineage: Eukaryota; Viridiplantae; Streptophyta; Magnoliopsida; Fabales; Fabaceae. The transcript is spliced from 6 exons.